RNAcentral lists this non-coding RNA (142 nucleotides) under Fragilariopsis kerguelensis. The record is from RNAcentral. Lineage: Eukaryota; Bacillariophyta; Bacillariophyceae; Bacillariales; Bacillariaceae.
GAAAGCAUGUUUGAAGGAACUGGGAAUGUCGCAAAGUGGUGACAAGGGCACUCUCGAAUAUCGUCUGGAGAGAGGGACACAAAGUGCGACACUUGAUCUUCAAACCCCCGAUGGUCUUCCCGUGCAUCAAUUGAAAUUAGCG